GGUAAUUAUUCAGCCGAAUACGUUGCACGAAACGCGUUGAAGGUGUUAAAUGGUUGCGUGGAAUUAACGUUGAAUUUCGUUUCAUGCGGCUAAAAAAGGCUCAGGUAGAUCCGCAUGAAUGGAGAGAGGGAGAGGAGAGAAGCUUCGAUCCGGGAAGAGAAAUACCGGCCCUAACGUUUACAUGAAAGGUGCGGCCACAGCCUAAUAACCCGAAUGUAACCGGACACACCGCCGAGAGAGAGGGGGCGAGGGCGCCCCCGCGCGCGCAAAGGAGACGGAGAGAGCGCCACGGGGACUGCCAUCGAAAUAAGACUAUCGAGAUUCGGAACUCGUGCGUGCGCUCGAGCGAGCCCCGAUGGAGGACCACGUGGAAUGGACGAUUCCAUCGGUUUGCUUCUGCAUUGGAACCUGAAUCCAGGAGGAAAAAUCCCGACUCCGUACCACGCUCUCUUCCCCCUCUACUUUUAGACUCGCGCUUUAAACAAUGCCCGCGUUAAACCGAAGGUACUUUUUACAAGGAUUCGCAUCUGGAUUCGAGGUUGAGUCGAGGAGAAAAAGUUUGGGUUUCGUGGCACGUGCAAUCGCUCCUGCUCAUUUUUCUCUCUUUCUGGGUCCGUUAUAAAAAAUAUAUCUAAGAAAGGUCGUUACUUCCUUGGGACAGAGUUGCAGAAAUAUCUUGGGUAACAUCUGUAUUUAGAAGUGAAAUCAUUGUUGACCGAUGUAUUUCGCCAUGCUCAAUGUGUAAAGGGAGUAAACGCAGCCACGUUCGUCCUAUUGCCAUUGACAAACGAAUGCACCAUUAUCACGUGAGAGGCUCUAAGUAGUGAAUCACCGCAUCCUUAUUACGUGAGAAUAUCGUUACGUAGCUGGUAACAAAACCAGCGAUUCGUUGUAAUUAUGUAAUUAAGUUCUUUGUGUUAACAGGCUGGGCGUGAUUAAAGGAGGAUAUCACGCAGGCGUAGAUCUCCCAUUAAGCUCUGCGUACCUGUCGACUCAAUGAGAUCCGAUAAGUAAUAUUCUUUUUCCUUCUGGCUUCCAACUUGCCGACUGUAACGUUUGCCGAAGGAACGGCCUGUCCUCGCGGCGAUCGUUCCAAAGUCGAAGCCAAUCCGCGACAAAAGCGGCGUGUCCAAGGUACCCCGGCAUAACGGACGAGGCGGCAAGAUGGCCGUGCCAGAUUCAGGUGAUUCGCACAUCCGAUUAGAAAAAUCGGUUUCCUUAGGGAUGUUGGAAGUAACAUGGACAAACGAGGACCCAGCUACAGAGCUACUUUGUUCUAACGUGGAAGUAUUUCCGUCGAGUAUACACAUGUGGAACGGAAAAGGAAUGUAACUUGACUUUGAUAGAGCGCAGAGUCAUGGCCAGGCGUUUUUUGCCGGAGAUUAUAUUUUAUGCGAGCAUUGAUUCGAUGUAUGUAAUCUCUGUCUUCCAACGUUCCCACGGUCUCCUUGAAUGGACAUUAGCGUUUAAAAUUAACAUGUUCACGGGGCUGUAACAAUCAGGUCGCUGUUCUGUCCAUUUGUAGAGGCUGACGUGAUCGCUUUGUGAUUUCUAUCAUUGGUGUCACAAUGACU
Molecule: long non-coding RNA, 1574 nt
Filed under: Orussus abietinus
Lineage: Eukaryota; Metazoa; Arthropoda; Insecta; Hymenoptera; Orussidae
Description: uncharacterized LOC105695825, transcript variant X4
Source: RNAcentral